CUCCACACCACAAGGGCGAGAGCGAAUCGUAGCUGGUUCGAGGGAUAGAUACGCACAUCGACUGAGAACGGCGACUCUACCGGAGCAGCAGUGGUAAUAUGACAUGGCGAAGGCUGAUCAGCCAUGCGCGUGUGUGAAGAAGCCUCGGGUGUAAAGCACUUCAGUGGGAAGAAAGCUCGGGAUUAAUACUUCCGAGGGAGGACAUCACCCACAGAAGAAGCACCGGCUAACUCCGUGCCAGCAGCCGCGGUAAUACGGAGGGUGCGAGCGUUAAUCGGAAUUACUGGGCGUAAAGCGCGCGUAGGCGGUCUGAUAAGCCGGUUGUGAAAGCCCCGGGCUCAACCUGGGAACGGCAUCCGGAACUGUCAGGCUAGAGUGCAGGAGAGGAAGGUAGAAUUCCCGGUGUAGCGGUGAAAUGCGUAGAGAUCGGGAGGAAUACCAGUGGCGAAGGCGGCCUUCUGGACUGACACUGACGCUGAGGUGCGAAAGCGUGGGUAGCAAACAGGAUUAGAUACCCUGGUAGUCCACGCCGUAAACGAUGUCGACUAGCCGUUGGGCUCCUUGAGAGCUUUGUGGCGCAGUUAACGCGAUAAGUCGACCGCCUGGGGAGUACGGCCGCAAGGUUAAAACUCAAAUGAAUUGACGGGGGCCCGCACAAGCGGUGGAGCAUGUGGUUUAAUUCGAUGCAACGCGAAGAACCUUACCUACCCUUGACAUCGUGCGAACUUGGUAGAGAUACCUUGGUGCCUUCGGGAGCGCACAGACAGGUGCUGCAUGGCUGUCGUCAGCUCGUGUUGUGAAAUGUUGGGUUAAGUCCCGUAACGAGCGCAACCCUUGUCCUUAUUUGCCAGCGCGUAAUGGCGGGAACUCUAAGGAGACUGCCGGUGACAAACCGGAGGAAGGUGGGGACGACGUCAAGUCAUCAUGGCCCUUACGGGUAGGGCUACACACGUGCUACAAUGGCCGGUACAAAGGGUUGCGAAGCCGCGAGGUGGAGCUAAUCCCGAAAAGCUGGUCUCAGUCCGGAUCGGAGUCUGCAACUCGACUCCGUGAAGUCGGAAUCGCUAGUAAUCGUGAAUCAGAAUGUCACGGUGAAUACGUUCCCGGGCCUUGUACACAGCCCGUCACACCAUGGGAGUGGACUGCACCAGAAGUGGUUAGCCUAACUUCGGAGGGCGAUCACCACGGUGUGGUUCAUGACUGGGGUGAAGUCGUAACAAGGUAACCAAUCUCUAGAGUCCCCCCGAACCGAUUCC
Molecule: ribosomal RNA, 1256 nt
Filed under: uncultured bacterium
Lineage: Bacteria
Description: bacterial SSU rRNA
Rfam family: Bacterial small subunit ribosomal RNA
Source: RNAcentral